CCUACGGGCGGCAGCAGUGAGGAAUAUUGGUCAAUGGACGAGAGUCUGAACCAGCCAAGUAGCGUGAAGGAUGACUGCCCUAUGGGUUGUAAACUUCUUUUAUAUGGGAAUAAACUGUUCCACGUGUGGGUUUUUGUAUGUACCAUAUGAAUAAGGAUCGGCUAAUUCCGUGCCAGCAGCCGCGGUAAUACGGAGGAUCCGAGCGUUAUCCGGAUUUAUUGGGUUUAAAGGGAGCGUAGGUGGAUUGUUAAGUCAGUUGUGAAAGUUUGCGGCUCAACCGUAAAAUUGCAGUUGAAACUGGCAGUCUUGAGUACAGUAGAGGUGGGCGGAAUUCGUGGUGUAGCGGUGAAAUGCUUAGAUAUCACGAAGAACUCCGAUUGCGAAGGCAGCUCACUGGAGUGCAACUGACACUGAGGCUCGAAGGUGUGGGUAUCAAACAGGAUUAGAUACCCCUGUAGUC
This 460-nucleotide ribosomal RNA is filed under the name uncultured bacterium. RNAcentral describes it as "partial 16S ribosomal RNA". It matches the Rfam family "Bacterial small subunit ribosomal RNA", at positions 338 to 795 of the family's 1533-position model. The record is from RNAcentral.